CUCAGGGAGGUAGUGACAAGAAAUAACAACACUGGAAACUUUAUUUCUAGUGAUUGGAAUGAUGGGAAUUUAAACCCCUUUCAGAGUAACAAUUGGAGGGCAAGUCUGGUGCCAGCAGCCGCGGUAAUUCCAGCUCCAAUAGCGUAUAUUAAAGCUGUUGCAGUUAAAAAGCUCGUAGUUGGAUGUCUGCUGGAAGCAAUCAGUCCGCCCUAUUUGUAGGGUGUGCACUUGAUGAAUUCUGGCAUCUAUGUCCUAAUGUGAUAGAUACGGCGGUGUAUAUGGGCUAAUCCUAUAUACCCGUUUUUGUAUAUUAUAUUGGGAUAAUGCCGUUACUUUGAGAAAAUUAGAGUGUUUGAAGCAGGCUAAUUGCCUCGAAUACUGCAGCAUGGAAUAACAAUAUAGGAUUUCGGUUCUAUUUUGUUGGUUUCUAGGACUGAAAUAAUGAUUAAUAGGGACAGUUGGGGGCAUUCGUAUUUAACUGUCAGAGGUGAAAUUCUCAGAUUUGUUAAAGACGAACUACUGCGAAAGCAUUUGCCAAAGAUGUUUUCAUUAAUCAAGAACGAAAGUUAGGGGCUCGAAGACGAUCAGACACCGUCGUAGUCUUAACCAUAAACUAUGCCGACUAGAGAUAGGAAAAUGUCAUUUUUCUGACUU
This 654-nucleotide ribosomal RNA is filed under the name Sarcocystis hjorti. RNAcentral describes it as "SSU rRNA". It matches the Rfam family "Eukaryotic small subunit ribosomal RNA", at positions 455 to 1077 of the family's 1831-position model. The record is from RNAcentral. Lineage: Eukaryota; Apicomplexa; Conoidasida; Eucoccidiorida; Sarcocystidae.